GCCUUCUCUACCCAGGCCUCCAUCAGCAGAAGGAGCCAUCACUGUCAGCAGUCCUGCAACAAUAUUUCUCUCUGCCAGCCUUGUUUAGAACCGGCAAACCCUUUCCCAUAAAGGGCAUGGAUGAAAAGGUUCACCAUGAAAGGCAGAUCAUAGUUAGGAAAGGCCAGGGACCACCUAAAAUCUCCUCCUGGACCCCAGAGAUAUGUGGGUCCCACUCACUCUUUGGGAAACACUGACUUGUAGCAUAUACUCUGAAAUGGAGAAUAAUUUAAUUAUCCCAUGGUAAUCCCACCCUGUCAGUCACUUUCAAAUCAAAGACCUAAAAACCUUGAGGGUAAUGAGGCUACACAGUGGAAGUCACAGUAGAAAUCUGUUGCAUUAAUUACCUAUGGACCAUGAAAUACAUUUUUUUCCCCCUAGUUUCAGCCAUGGAGCUUUACAUAUGACAAAUCCUCUCUUAUUUGUGACUCUGCUCACCCAGUUCAGUAGGUCUUUACAUAUUUGGGCUCUCUUUACAAAGCAGCUUAAACAAAUUGUGGUUAUGGCACCAAGAAGAGAUUCCAGGAAUGAGGAAGUCACUCCCCCAAAUGCAGGCACAAGGCAAAUUCCAUACUGGGCUGGUUCAACCUGGGUACGUACUUGAUUUCAGAGUCACUAUGACAGCCUUGAUUUAAAAUAGGCAAUUAUUUUCCACUAGGCAAAAGCAUUCAACCUAGAAAAAGUCACAGAGAAGACUAAGUUCCCUUCUCAUCCCUUCCCUGGUUCCAGUUCCUUUCCCCAGAGAAACGUUUGUUCCUUUGAUGUCACCUGUCUGAGUUUGGAUUUCCUCAAAAGAAGAGACUGAAGCCAGGACUUGGGUGCAAGCAGUUUCUUAGGGAGGUGAUGGCGGAGCAGAAGCGGAGGCACAGAGACAGCAAGACAAGGAAGGGAGGAAAACGAAGACAGGAACAUCAGCUAUAAAGGAAGUGGUUCUCCAGGAAGUCACAGAGAUGAGGGUCCGUGCCGGCAGUAUCCAGAGCAUGCUGAUCCAAAAGGGCCUGGUUGAAGUUCCUCUUCAAGAUCAUGACGGCUUCCACGGGGUCCAGGGUUUUACCCCACUUAGUUCUGGAUAGCUUCUGCAUGUCCUGGAAGAAGGGACAGCUACCGUGCUGGUUUUGCGUCUUCAAGAGAUGCUGAGAGCCCUCGGGCUUCUUCUUGGCUAACUUACAGAAGAAGCAGCCCAAGCCCCUCCAGAGCCACAUCCUCAUGGUGGAAACAAAGCUAGAGAGAGGUAGGUAGGUGAAGAAGGCUCACAGAUGCAAGUUGACCAGAUGGUUGAUGGCCGUCUCCACCUGGGCGGAAUAAUUCUGAUGAAUCUAAGAGCUCAAGGUUGGUCGGCAAUAAGGAGCUAAGCACAAAGUGUGGUGUUGGUGGGAGCAGAGGACCGCCGAGAAGAUGGUC
This 1440-nucleotide long non-coding RNA is filed under the name Equus asinus (donkey). RNAcentral describes it as "lncRNA (ENSEASG00005027877.1)". The record is from RNAcentral. Lineage: Eukaryota; Metazoa; Chordata; Mammalia; Perissodactyla; Equidae.